CCUACGGGAGGCAGCAGUGAGGAAUAUUGCACAAUGGGGGAAACCCUGAUGCAGCGACGCCGCGUGAGUGAAGAAGUAAUUCGUUAUGUAAAGCUCUAUCAGCAGGGAAGAAAAUGACGGUACCUGAGUAAGAAGCCCCGGCUAACUCCGUCCCAGCAGCCGCGGUAACACGUAGGGGGCAAGCGUUAUCCGGAUUUACUGGGGGUAAAGGGAGCGUAGACGGCAGUGCAAGUCUGGAGUGAAAGGCGGGGGCUCAACCCCCGGACUGCUCUGGAAACUGUGAGGCUGGAGUUAAGGAGAGGUAAGUGGAAUUCCUGGUGUAGCGGUGAAAUGCGUAGAUAUUAGGAGGAACACCAGUGGCGAAGGCGGCUUACUGGACUGUAACUGACGUUGAGGCUCGAAGGCGUGGGGAGCAAACAGGAUUAGAUACCCGGGUAGUC
RNAcentral lists this ribosomal RNA (440 nucleotides) under uncultured bacterium. RNAcentral's name for it is "partial 16S ribosomal RNA". It matches the Rfam family "Bacterial small subunit ribosomal RNA", at positions 338 to 795 of the family's 1533-position model. The record is from RNAcentral.